Molecule: unclassified non-coding RNA, 1026 nt
Filed under: Hevea brasiliensis (rubber tree)
Lineage: Eukaryota; Viridiplantae; Streptophyta; Magnoliopsida; Malpighiales; Euphorbiaceae
Source: RNAcentral
UCUGCAACAAGUUUAAUUUGGAGGUAAAAUGGCAACAAUCGAUGUUCCCCAAAAGGGUGGGUUUAGUUUUGAUUUGUGUAGAAGAAAUGAGAUGUUGGUCAGCAAAGGACUUCGUUCUCCCUCUUUUCUCAAGACUGGUACUACCAUCGUCGGCUUAAUUUUUAAGGAUGGUGUUAUCCUUGGAGCAGACACACGGGCAACUGAAGGACCUAUUGUCGCGGAUAAAAACUGUGAGAAAAUUCAUUACAUGGCUCCUAAUAUAUAUUGCUGUGGAGCUGGGACAGCUGCUGAUACAGAGGCUGUGACUGACAUGGUCAGUUCCCAGUUAAAGCUUCACAGGUAUCACACUGGUCGUGAAUCCAGGGUUGUGACAUCUCUUACUCUUUUGAAGUCCCACCUUUUCAGCUACCAAGGCCACGUCUCUGCUGCUUUGGUCCUUGGUGGUGUUGAUGUCACAGGGCCACAUCUGCAUACUAUUUAUCCACAUGGAUCAACUGACACUCUACCAUAUGCUACAAUGGGCUCUGGUUCCCUCGCGGCAAUGGCUAUGUUUGAGUCGAAAUACCGGGAGGGAAUGAGCAAAGAUGAAGGUAUAAAGCUAGUAGCAGACGCCAUUUUGUCUGGAGUGUUCAAUGACCUUGGUAGUGGCAGCAAUGUCGAUAUCUGUGUGAUAACAAAGGGAAACACGGAGUACUUACGAAAUCAUUUAUCGCCCAAUCCCCGCACCUAUCCACAAAAGGGUUACUCGUUCUCUAAAAAGACUGAGGUUCUCCUUACAAAGAUUACACCACUGAGAGAAAUUGUGCAAGUGAUUGAAGGUGGAGACGCCAUGGAAGAAUGACUUUUACUGCAAUGAUAGAAUCCAUGUGGAUUUCCUUUAAACAUUAUAUUGUCAAACAUUUCCAUGAGUAUUUUAGUGUUGAAGUUUAAAUUGCAAGUCUUAAGUGAACUAUUCUAUGUUAUCAGAUGUAGCUUCCAAAGAAAUUCCUCGCUAGAAAUUGAAUGAUUGGUUUGAUUUGAAGAAAG